RNAcentral lists this ribosomal RNA (1494 nucleotides) under Triticum aestivum (bread wheat). RNAcentral's name for it is "partial small subunit ribosomal RNA". Lineage: Eukaryota; Viridiplantae; Streptophyta; Magnoliopsida; Poales; Poaceae. The record is from RNAcentral.
AUGGUUGGGACUACCUUCUUCCUGCUGCUGGUUCUGCUGGGCGCAUCACUUGCAGAUGCCUCCCAGGAGGACCAGCUCAGGAAGUUCAUCUUGUCCACGGCCAAGAAGAGGCAAGCUUUAAGGGCCAGUAGUGCGAACGUGCCCGAGGAAACCGACCCAUGGGCCGACGCCAGCAGCUUCAGCCACCUGCCAACGCAAUUUCCGUUCCCACCUCUGGGCGCCAAGGCGGCCGACAAGAUCGCUGCGCUGCCCGGCCAGCCGCCGCGGGUCAACUUCGACCAGUACUCCGGCUACGUCACGGUGAGCGAGAAGCACGGCCGGGAGCUCUUUUACUACUUCGUCGAGGCCCCCUACGAGGCGGCCUCCAAGCCGCUCCUCCUCUGGCUCAACGGUGGGCCCGGGUGCUCGUCGCUCGGGUACGGCGCCAUGACGGAGCUCGGCCCGUUCCGAGUGAACCCCGACGGCAAGACCCUGAGCAGGAACAAGCAUGCCUGGAACAACCUGGCUAACGUGAUCUUCCUGGAGUCACCGGCCGGCGUGGGGUUCUCCUACGCGAGCAACAACCCGAACAAUAACGACAACGUUGGCGACCCGAGAACCGCCAAGGACGCGUUCGUCUUCCUGCUCAAAUGGCUGGAGCGGUUCCCGGAGUACAAGGGCCGCGACUUCUACAUCGCCGGAGAGAGCUACGGCGGCCACUACGUGCCGCAGCUCGCCACCGUGAUCGAAUACAUGAACGAGCUCUACGGCGCCACUCUCAUAAACCUCCGCGGCAUCUUGGUCGGCAAUCCGUACCUUGACGAUUUCAUGAACGACAAGGGGAGCCUCGAGUUCUUAUGGAACCACGGGGUGAUCUCCGACGAGGGGUGGGCCAAUAUCCGUGAAAACUGCACCUUCACCUCGAAAGACGACUGGCAGUGCUUCGUGGCGUCGCGCAAGCCCCGGAUAGGCAACAUCGAUCUCCACAACAUAUACGCCCCGAUCUGCCUCAAGUCGGAACGUGACGGCACGUACCACUCGUCCGGCUACCUGGCUGGCUACGAUCCGUGCAUCGACCACUACGUCCUGGCUUACCUCAACAAUGGCGAGGUGCAACAAGCUCUGCACGCCCGGGCCAACACAAGUUGGACAGCUUGCAGCCCAGACUUGGACUAUAACGACGGCCCAGUUUCCAUGGUGCCAACCAUCAGAAGGCUAGUCAAACGUGGGUUAAGUGUAUGGCUCUAUAGUGGGGAUAUGGAUGAUGUGUGCCCCAUUACCGCGACGAGGUACUCCGUCAACGAUCUCAACCUACCCAUCACGAAGCCAUGGCGCCCUUGGUACACCCCAGACAGCGAGGUUGGAGGCUAUGUUCAGCAGUACAAGGGAGGCUUCACGUUUGCAUCAGUGAGGGGUGCUGGCCAUCUGGUUCCUAGUUACCAGCCAAAGAGAGCGCUUGUUCUUCUCUACUCUUUCCUCAAGGGCGUACUCCCACCAGCCGACAUCCCAAAAUGA